AUAUACGUGCACUGCUACAAUACCAGGUUACGGAAGUUGCAAGAAAAUACCAGUACUUCAGUUAAUGUGCCAAACUCAGGUUUCAACACUCCUGUGAAGGGUUACCAGCCUUCCCUAUCAAAUCAGUUCUCUGGGCAAUACAUUGUUGAUAGAUUGGAGGGAGUUGAGAAAUUGAUUUUGGACUAUUUGCAGCAGCCAGCAUUGCUUGAAAGUGUGAAGGGGG
Coffea eugenioides is the source of this 223-nucleotide long non-coding RNA. RefSeq lists it as uncharacterized. The record is from RefSeq and is a predicted model, not a curated record. NCBI's taxonomy places the organism in Eukaryota, Viridiplantae, Streptophyta, Magnoliopsida, Gentianales, Rubiaceae. The transcript is spliced from 4 exons.